Molecule: unclassified non-coding RNA, 468 nt
Filed under: Hevea brasiliensis (rubber tree)
Lineage: Eukaryota; Viridiplantae; Streptophyta; Magnoliopsida; Malpighiales; Euphorbiaceae
Source: RNAcentral
UAGUGAUUGACUUUCCAUAACAGCACACAUACACAUACAGACAAUGCACUACAGAAACAGAGAUUGGACAAAAUCUUAAAAGGCUUGAAUUUGGCUGAGCUAAGUAGAAAUGAAAAUGUUCUAAAAUUAACAAAUAAAAUUAUAAAAAUAAUAUUGUUUUUCAUAUUUAAUUACUAAUUUAUAUAAACGGAUAGCUAAUGCAUAAAACCUGAAUCAAUCCUAAAUCUGAACAUGCAUCACUUGAAUCUAACUAAUAUUAUCAGCCAGGCAUUACCAAAUGUCAAACUGCAAGAAAGGGCAAGCUCAGAUCAGACAAUAAGUGAGAAUGGAAACCUACUUUCUACUGUUUGAUUGAAAGUACUACUUGGCGAUUUGGUGAAGAGGGACCAUGGUAAGGUCGAAUCCUUCUCCGUAUCGGAUCCUUCAUCGGCUCCUGCAGGCAUCGGGGGCCCUUCCAUGCCGGAACCA